Molecule: ribosomal RNA, 474 nt
Filed under: uncultured bacterium
Lineage: Bacteria
Description: partial 16S ribosomal RNA
Rfam family: Bacterial small subunit ribosomal RNA
Source: RNAcentral
AACGAACGCUGGCGGCAUGCCUAACACAUGCAAGUCGAACGAUCCCUUCGGGGAUAGUGGCGCACGGGUGCGUAACGCGUGGGAACCUGCCCUUAGGUUCGGAAUAACUCAGAGAAAUUUGAGCUAAUACCGGAUAAUGUCUUCGGACCAAAGAUUUAUCGCCUUUGGAUGGGCCCGCGUUGGAUUAGCUAGUUGGUGGGGUAAAGGCCUACCAAGGCGACGAUCCAUAGCUGGUCUGAGAGGAUGAUCAGCCACACUGGGACUGAGACACGGCCCAGACGAGAAGGGGAAGCAGAGGGAGGGAGAGUGGGAUGAGGGGGGAAGACCUGGACGAGGAGUGUGGGGGAGGGGGUGAAGGGCUGAGGGUUGUAACGCUUUGUGACACGAGAUGAUAAUGAAAGAGCCGGGAGAAGACGCCACGCCUAACUCCGCGCCAGCAGCCGGGGUAGGAAGCGGAAGAGCCCGCGUGGGAAC